RNAcentral lists this long non-coding RNA (203 nucleotides) under Gossypium raimondii (Peruvian cotton). RNAcentral's name for it is "long non-coding RNA (GRAI_LNC002908)". Lineage: Eukaryota; Viridiplantae; Streptophyta; Magnoliopsida; Malvales; Malvaceae. The record is from RNAcentral.
GAAUUAGGGUUAAGAUUUUAGGGGUGAAACCACAAAAGUUUAUAGGUAGAUUUGAGAGGUUGGAGAUGUGAUAAUGCGGCUCAAAACACAUACUGUUCAUAUCUCAUGUUGGGAUAGGACUAUUACCUCAGAAACUCAUCCUAUGGAAGUUAGGUUUCGAGGUGACAGUGCUUGAUACGAUCACGGUCGAAGUCUAAGUAGAG